RNAcentral lists this ribosomal RNA (439 nucleotides) under uncultured bacterium. RNAcentral's name for it is "partial 16S ribosomal RNA". It matches the Rfam family "Bacterial small subunit ribosomal RNA", at positions 339 to 795 of the family's 1533-position model. The record is from RNAcentral.
CUACGGGUUGCACCAGUGAGGAAUAUUGCACAGUGGGGGGAACCCUGAUGCAGCAACGUCGCGUGGAGGAUGACGCAUUUCGGUGUGUAAACUCCUUUUAUAUGUCAAGAAAAUGACGGUAGCAUAUGAAUAAGCACCGGCUAACUCCGUGCCAGCAGCCGCGGUAAUACGGAGGGUGCAAGCGUUACUCGGAAUCACUGGGCGUAAAGGACGCGUAGGCGGGUUGGAAAGUCAGGUGUGAAAUCCUACAGCUUAACUGUAGAACUGCACUUGAAACUUCUAAUCUAGAGUAUGGGAGGGGGAGAUGGAAUUAGUGGUGUAGGGGUAAAAUCCGUAGAUAUCACUAGGAAUACCUAAAGCGAAGGCGAUCUCCUGGAACAUUACUGACGCUAAGGCGUGAAAGCGUGGGGAGCAAACAGGAUUAGAUACCCUUGUAGUC